UCUCUCUCUCUUCAUUUGCUCUUGAUGUUCUAAGAAUUCUCUAUAGCAAUUAAAUGGCAUCUGCCUUUCUUUCAAGAUCACUUGUUGGACUUCUUCGUUCUUCUUCAACUUCUUUCACUCAAAAGUCUCAGUCUUUCACUACACCCUUCAAUGUAAGUUUAUAUAUUUCUCUAGAAAUUAUCAAUAUUAUGAUUGGUUUCAAGUAAAGGGGUUCAAGUUUUAUUUGCUUGAAUUGUCUCAAUUAACUUGUUUUCUUCAUUUUUACUGUUUUUCUUACUUAUUUGUUGAUUGUUUGUAAUCAAUUACCACACAAAGAACAAAGUAAAAUAAUUCAUUUUUACUGUUUUUGGGGCUUUCAUCUCUGAUGCUUAUUUGGGCCGGUUUCUAGUAAUCGUCUUGGGAUCAAUUCUUAGUAGUCUU
This 420-nucleotide long non-coding RNA is filed under the name Aquilegia coerulea. RNAcentral's name for it is "long non-coding RNA (ACOE_LNC000683)". Lineage: Eukaryota; Viridiplantae; Streptophyta; Magnoliopsida; Ranunculales; Ranunculaceae. The record is from RNAcentral.